AGCGAACGCUGGCGGCAGGCCUAACACAUGCAAGUCGAACGAACUCUUCGGAGUUAGUGGCGGACGGGUGAGUAACACGUGGGAACGUGCCCUUUGGUUCGGAAUAACUCAGGGAAACUUGUGCUAAUACCGAAUGUGCCCUUCGGGGGAAAGAUUUAUCGCCAUUAGAGCGGCCCGCGUCUGAUUAGCUAGUUGGUGAGGUAACGGCUCACCAAGGCGACGAUCAGUAGCUGGUCUGAGAGGAUGACCAGCCACACUGGGACUGAGACACGGCCCAGAAUCCUACGGGAGGGAGCAGUGGGGAAUGUUGCGCAAUGGGGGAAAGCAUGACGCAGCCAUGCCGGGUGAAUGAUGAAGGUAGUAGGAUUGUAAAAUGCUUUCACCGGGGACGAUAAUGACGGUACCCGGAGAAGAAGCCCCGGCUAACUACGUG
Molecule: ribosomal RNA, 433 nt
Filed under: uncultured bacterium
Lineage: Bacteria
Description: partial 16S ribosomal RNA
Rfam family: Bacterial small subunit ribosomal RNA
Source: RNAcentral